Molecule: ribosomal RNA, 591 nt
Filed under: Streptomyces thermocarboxydus
Lineage: Bacteria; Bacillati; Actinomycetota; Actinomycetes; Kitasatosporales; Streptomycetaceae
Description: bacterial SSU rRNA
Rfam family: Bacterial small subunit ribosomal RNA
Source: RNAcentral
GCUUACACAUGCAAGUCGAACGAUGAAGCCCUUCGGGGUGGAUUAGUGGCGAACGGGUGAGUAACACGUGGGCAAUCUGCCCUGCACUCUGGGACAAGCCCUGGAAACGGGGUCUAAUACCGGAUACUGAUCGCCUUGGGCAUCCUUGGUGAUCGAAAGCUCCGGCGGUGCAGGAUGAGCCCGCGGCCUAUCAGCUUGUUGGUGAGGUAAUGGCUCACCAAGGCGACGACGGGUAGCCGGCCUGAGAGGGCGACCGGCCACACUGGGACUGAGACACGGCCCAGACUCCUACGGGAGGCAGCAGUGGGGAAUAUUGCACAAUGGGCGAAAGCCUGAUGCAGCGACGCCGCGUGAGGGAUGACGGCCUUCGGGUUGUAAACCUCUUUCAGCAGGGAAGAAGCGAAAGUGACGGUACCUGCAGAAGAAGCGCCGGCUAACUACGUGCCAGCAGCCGCGGUAAUACGUAGGGCGCGAGCGUUGUCCGGAAUUAUUGGGCGUAAAGAGCUCGUAGGCGGCUUGUCGCGUCGGUUGUGAAAGCCCGGGGCUUAACCCCGGGUCUGCAGUCGAUACGGGCAGGCUAGAGUUCGGUAG